AAGGCCCCUACCUUCUUGGUUCUCUGUUAGUUGAGGCGUGGGUUUAGAGAGAAAGGUCGCUAUUGUUCCUCGUUGGGGAUUUUCUGUUAUUAGUUGGGUUGCUUGGCGGAUGUGUAAGUUCUUGGUUUUUUAUGUUAGUCUUCGUUGAAGCGUGGGUUUUGCGAGUAGGUAGCCAUUGUCCCCUACCUUGGUUCAGAAAGAGUCGCCAUCAUCAUUUGUUUGGGGUUUGAAUUAGCUUGACUGCUACUUGUUAGGUAGGCAUUUCUCAGAACUUCUGAUGGGUUUUAGACUUAAGUUGGUUAUGGUUAGGGUUGGCGGUUCUUGAGCUUGCCAUUAUUCUUGACGAAUUUUGAUGCUAAAAAACUUGGAAACUAUGCUGUCCCCAUGUCGAGAAGCUGAGUAACAUUCUGCAUGUACAAUGUUCUGAAUGGCACCUCUUAAUGUUAGGAACUUCAGCAGUUCAGCCAUCCAAUCUAGGACUUGCAUCCAAUUGUGCAGGCUGCAUGGAAGUCUCAUUUACCUCUGCGUGAACAUCAUGAACACAGACACUAUUCGAAGGCUCAUGUUUACAUAGCAGUGGUGUUGCUGUCCAAUGUGGCGUGUUGUUGCAGCCUAUGGUGGUGAAAGAUAUCUGCAUCAAGUUGCUGUUCCUUGUGCAUCCAAGGUGCUGGUUUUGUGCUACAAAAGUGACAUCCAGUAUUGUGUUAAAUUGCUAUUUGUGUCUGCAGUUUACCUUUUAAAUAUUGAGAAG
Daphnia pulicaria is the source of this 751-nucleotide long non-coding RNA. RefSeq lists it as uncharacterized. NCBI's taxonomy places the organism in Eukaryota, Metazoa, Arthropoda, Branchiopoda, Diplostraca, Daphniidae. The record is from RefSeq and is a predicted model, not a curated record. The transcript is spliced from 5 exons.